Sinocyclocheilus anshuiensis is the source of this 109-nucleotide long non-coding RNA. RefSeq lists it as uncharacterized. The record is from RefSeq and is a predicted model, not a curated record. The transcript is spliced from 3 exons. NCBI's taxonomy places the organism in Eukaryota, Metazoa, Chordata, Actinopteri, Cypriniformes, Cyprinidae.
UGAGGAAGUACUUUAAGUGCACUUUAAGUAAUAAACAAAGCAAAGUUACAUUGAUAUAAAAUAAGUGGCAUUCAUUUUUUGUUUGUUCACAUUGAUGUUAAAAUUACAU